This 199-nucleotide ribosomal RNA is filed under the name uncultured bacterium. RNAcentral's name for it is "partial 16S ribosomal RNA". It matches the Rfam family "Bacterial small subunit ribosomal RNA", at positions 335 to 527 of the family's 1533-position model. The record is from RNAcentral.
AUUCCUACGGGAGGCAGCAGUCGAGAAUUUUUCACAAUGGGGGAAACCCUGAUGGAGCGACGCCGCGUGGAGGAUUAAGGUUUUCGGAUCGUAAACUCCUGUCAUUAGAGAACAAGGCACAUGAACUAACUACUCGUGUGUUGAUAGUACCUGAAGAGGAAGGGACGGCUAACUCUGUGCCAGCAGCCGCGGUAAUAAU